GUUGAAGAACGUAGCGAAAUGCGAUACGUAGUGUGAAUUGCAGAAUUCAGUGAAUCAUCGAAUCUUUGAACGCACAUUGCACCUCUCGGUAUUCCGGGAGGUAUGCCUGUUCGAGCGUCAUUUGUACCCUCAAGCUCUGCUUGGUGUUGGGUGUUUGUUCCGCCUCUGUGUGUGAACUCGCCUCAAAACAAUUGGCAGCCGGCGUAUUGAUUUCGGAGCGCAGUACAUCUCGCGCUUUGCACUCAUAACGACGACGUCCAAAAGUACAUUUUUACACUCUUGACCUCGGAUCAGGUAGGGAUACCCGCUGAACUUAAGCAUAUCAAUAAGCGGAGGA
RNAcentral lists this unclassified non-coding RNA (337 nucleotides) under soil metagenome. RNAcentral's name for it is "partial contains 5.8S ribosomal RNA, internal transcribed spacer 2, and large subunit ribosomal RNA". The stretch from base 1 to 120 matches the Rfam family "5.8S ribosomal RNA", at positions 35 to 154 of the family's 154-position model. The record is from RNAcentral.